GCCGGGCAUUGUGGCGGGCGCCUGUGGUCCCAGCUACUUGGGAGGCUGAGGCAGGAGACUCGCUUGAGCCCAGGAGUUGGAGGUUGCUGUGAGCUGUGAUGCCAUGGCACUCUACCUAGGGGGAUAUUUUUUUUUUCUUUUUAAGUCAGAGCCUCAAGCUGGCCCCCUGGGUAGAGUGCCGUGGCAUCACAGUUUACAGCAACCUCCAACUCCUGGGCUUAAGUGAGUCUUUUGCCUCUG
Molecule: signal recognition particle RNA, 240 nt
Filed under: Otolemur garnettii (small-eared galago)
Lineage: Eukaryota; Metazoa; Chordata; Mammalia; Primates; Galagidae
Description: Metazoan signal recognition particle RNA
Rfam family: Metazoan signal recognition particle RNA
About the family: The signal recognition particle (SRP) is a universally conserved ribonucleoprotein. It is involved in the co-translational targeting of proteins to membranes. The eukaryotic SRP consists of a 300-nucleotide 7S RNA and six proteins: SRPs 72, 68, 54, 19, 14, and 9.
Source: Rfam by way of RNAcentral